Molecule: ribosomal RNA, 1440 nt
Filed under: Lactiplantibacillus plantarum
Lineage: Bacteria; Bacillati; Bacillota; Bacilli; Lactobacillales; Lactobacillaceae
Description: bacterial SSU rRNA
Rfam family: Bacterial small subunit ribosomal RNA
Source: RNAcentral
UAUACAUGCAGUCGACGAACUCUGGUAUUGAUUGGUGCUUGCAUCAUGAUUUACAUUUGAGUGAGUGGCGAACUGGUGAGUAACACGUGGGAAACCUGCCCAGAAGCGGGGGAUAACACCUGGAAACAGAUGCUAAUACCGCAUAACAACUUGGACCGCAUGGUCCGAGCUUGAAAGAUGGCUUCGGCUAUCACUUUUGGAUGGUCCCGCGGCGUAUUAGCUAGAUGGUGGGGUAACGGCUCACCAUGGCAAUGAUACGUAGCCGACCUGAGAGGGUAAUCGGCCACAUUGGGACUGAGACACGGCCCAAACUCCUACGGGAGGCAGCAGUAGGGAAUCUUCCACAAUGGACGAAAGUCUGAUGGAGCAACGCCGCGUGAGUGAAGAAGGGUUUCGGCUCGUAAAACUCUGUUGUUAAAGAAGAACAUAUCUGAGAGUAACUGUUCAGGUAUUGACGGUAUUUAACCAGAAAGCCACGGCUAACUACGUGCCAGCAGCCGCGGUAAUACGUAGGUGGCAAGCGUUGUCCGGAUUUAUUGGGCGUAAAGCGAGCGCAGGCGGUUUUUUAAGUCUGAUGUGAAAGCCUUCGGCUCAACCGAAGAAGUGCAUCGGAAACUGGGAAACUUGAGUGCAGAAGAGGACAGUGGAACUCCAUGUGUAGCGGUGAAAUGCGUAGAUAUAUGGAAGAACACCAGUGGCGAAGGCGGCUGUCUGGUCUGUAACUGACGCUGAGGCUCGAAAGUAUGGGUAGCAAACAGGAUUAGAUACCCUGGUAGUCCAUACCGUAAACGAUGAAUGCUAAGUGUUGGAGGGUUUCCGCCCUUCAGUGCUGCAGCUAACGCAUUAAGCAUUCCGCCUGGGGAGUACGGCCGCAAGGCUGAAACUCAAAGGAAUUGACGGGGGCCCGCACAAGCGGUGGAGCAUGUGGUUUAAUUCGAAGCUACGCGAAGAACCUUACCAGGUCUUGACAUACUAUGCAAAUCUAAGAGAUUAGACGUUCCCUUCGGGGACAUGGAUACAGGUGGUGCAUGGUUGUCGUCAGCUCGUGUCGUGAGAUGUUGGGUUAAGUCCCGCAACGAGCGCAACCCUUAUUAUCAGUUGCCAGCAUUAAGUUGGGCACUCUGGUGAGACUGCCGGUGACAAACCGGAGGAAGGUGGGGAUGACGUCAAAUCAUCAUGCCCCUUAUGACCUGGGCUACACACGUGCUACAAUGGAUGGUACAACGAGUUGCGAACUCGCGAGAGUAAGCUAAUCUCUUAAAGCCAUUCUCAGUUCGGAUUGUAGGCUGCAACUCGCCUACAUGAAGUCGGAAUCGCUAGUAAUCGCGGAUCAGCAUGCCGCGGUGAAUACGUUCCCGGGCCUUGUACACACCGCCCGUCACACCAUGAGAGUUUGUAACACCCAAAGUCGGUGGGGUAACCUCUAGGAACCAGCCGCUA